GGCUCGGGGAGGUAGUGACGAAAAUAACAAUACGGGACUCUUUCGAGGCCCCGUAAUUGGAAUGAGUACAGCUUAAAUCCUUUAACCAGGAUCUAUUGGAGGGCAAGUCUGGUGCCAGCAGCCGCGGUAAUUCCAGCUCCAUAGCGUAUAUUAAAGUUGUUGCAGUUAAAAAGCUCGUAGUUGGAUCCCGGGUCCAGGCUCGCGGUCUCGCCUCGCGGCGUUCACUGCCCGUCCUGACCUACCAGCCGGCUUCGAUCCUGGUGCUCUUCACCGAGUGUCCACGGAACGGCCGGUACGUUUACUUUGAAGAAAUUAGAGUGUUCAAAGCGGACGUAACUCGUUCGAAUCGAUGUGCAUGGAAUAAUGGAAUAGGACCUCGGUUCUAUUUCGUUGGUUUUAGGAGCGCGAGGUAAUGAUCAAAGGGACGACCGGGGCCAUUCGUAUUACAGCGUUAGAGGUGAAAUUCUUGGAUCGCCGUAAGACGAACUGCAGCGAAAGCGUUUGGCAAGUGCGUCCCCUUUAAUCAAGAGCGAAAGUCGGAGGUUCGAAGACGAUCAGAUACCGUCCUAGUUCCGACCAUAAAUGAUGCCGACUGGACGCCCUAAGGUGUUGAUUUCCGUGACCCUUAGGGAAUCCUGCCUGGGAAACCAAAGUCUUUGGGUUCCGGGGGAAGUAUGGUUGCAAAGCUGAAACUUAAAGGAAUUGACGGAAGGGCACCACCAGGAGUGGAGCCUGCGGCUUAAUUUGACUCAACACGGGAAAACUCACCCGGCCCGGACACCGUGAGGAUUGACAGAUUGAGAGCUCUUUCUUGAUUCGGUGGGUGGUGGUGCAUGGCCGUUCUUAGUUGGUGGAGUGAUUUGUCUGGUUAAUUCCGAUAACGAACGAGACUCUCUCCUGCUAAAUAGUCCGCCGGUUCCCCUUACGUCGGCGCUGACUUCUUAGAGGGACAAGUGGCCUCUAGCCACGCGAGAAUGAGCAAUAACAGGUCUGUGAUGCCCUUAGAUGUCCGGGGCCGCACGCGCGCUACACUGAAGGAAUCAACAGGCGUCCGUCCUGCUCCGAGAGGAGUGGGCAACCCUCUGAACCUCCUUCGUGCUAGGGAUUGGGGCUUGUAAUUCUUCCCCAUGAACGAGGAAUUCCCAGUAAGCGCGAGUCAUAAGCUCGCGUUGAUUACGUCCCUGCCCUUUGUACACACCGCCCGUCGCUACUACCGAUUGGAUGGUUUAGUGAGAUCCUCGGACUGACCCCGGCCGUAUCCGUCGGCUCACGCCGUCGGGCUAGGCCGGCUCGAGUCGG
This 1299-nucleotide ribosomal RNA is filed under the name Parougia sulleyi. RNAcentral describes it as "SSU rRNA". It matches the Rfam family "Eukaryotic small subunit ribosomal RNA", at positions 453 to 1755 of the family's 1831-position model. Lineage: Eukaryota; Metazoa; Annelida; Polychaeta; Eunicida; Dorvilleidae. The record is from RNAcentral.